CUUGGUCAUUUAGAGGAGUAAAAGUCGUAACAAGGUUUCCGUAGGUGAACCUUGCGGAAGGAUCAUUAUCGAAAUUAUUGGUGAGGGUUGUAGCUGGCCUUUCGAGGCAUGUGCACGCUCGAGCCCUUAAUCCACUUUACACCUGUGCACUUAAUGUAGGUCGCCCUUAAAAAAGGUGACCUAUGUCUUAUCAUCAACCCAUCGUAUGUCUCAUAGAAUGUAAUCGAUAUCCUCGCCCUAAAAAAGCGUUGAUAAACUUAUACAACUUUCAACAACGGAUCUCUUGGCUCUCGCAUCGAUGAGGAACGCAGCGAAAUGCGAUAAGUAAUGUGAAUUGCAGAUUUUCAGUGAAUCAUCGAAUCUUUGAACGCACCUUGCGCUCCUUGGUAUUCCGAGGAGCAUGCCUGUUUGAGUGUCAUUAAAUUCUCAACUCCAAGGGUUUCACGACCUUUCGGAGAUUGGACUUGGAGGUGCUGGCCGCAUAUUGGUCGGCUCCUCUCAAAUGCAUCAACGGAAUUCAACCUUUGGCUUCCGGAUGUCAGUGUGAUAAUCAUGUUGCGCUGUCGUUUGAUCCCUCAGAGUCCGCUUAUAAUGGUCUUCGGACAAAAUCAUCAUCAAAUUUGACCUCAAAUCAGGUAGGACUACCCGCUGAACUUAAGCAUAUCAAUAAGCGGGAGGA
This 679-nucleotide ribosomal RNA is filed under the name uncultured fungus. Its description in RNAcentral is "eukaryotic LSU rRNA". The stretch from base 264 to 418 matches the Rfam family "5.8S ribosomal RNA". Lineage: Eukaryota; Fungi. The record is from RNAcentral.